UACAGGGGGUGCAAGCGUUAUUCGGAAUCAUUGGGCGUAAAGGGCGCGUAGGCGGUUUACUAAGUCUGGUGUGAAAUCCCUGGACUCAAUCCAGGAAGUGCAUUGGAUACUGGUAGACUAGAGUGCAGGAUAGGAUGGCGGAAUUCCUGGUGUAGAGGUGAAAUUCGUAGAUAUCAGGAGGAACAACAGUAGCGAAGGCGGCCAUCUGGACUGUUACUGACGCUGAGGCGCGAAAGCGUGGGGAGCAAACAGG
Molecule: ribosomal RNA, 253 nt
Filed under: uncultured bacterium
Lineage: Bacteria
Description: partial 16S ribosomal RNA
Rfam family: Bacterial small subunit ribosomal RNA
Source: RNAcentral